RNAcentral lists this ribosomal RNA (290 nucleotides) under uncultured bacterium. Its description in RNAcentral is "partial 16S ribosomal RNA". It matches the Rfam family "Bacterial small subunit ribosomal RNA", at positions 335 to 643 of the family's 1533-position model. The record is from RNAcentral.
AGCCUACGGGGGGCAGCAGUGGGGAAUAUUGCACAAUGGGGGAAACCCUGAUGCAGCGACGCCGCGUGAGCGAUGAAGUAUUUCGGUAUGUAAAGCUCUAUCCGCAGGGAAGAAAAUGACGGUACCUGACUAAGAAGCCCCGGCUAACUACGUGCCAGCAGCCGCGGUAAUACGUAGGGGGCAAGCGUUAUCCGGAUUUACUGGGUGUAAAGGGAGCGUAGACGGCGAUGCAAGCCAGAUGUGAAAGCCCGGGGCUCAACCCCGGGACUGCAGUUGGAACUGUAUAGCUA